RNAcentral lists this ribosomal RNA (442 nucleotides) under uncultured Methanomicrobiales archaeon. RNAcentral describes it as "bacterial SSU rRNA". It matches the Rfam family "Archaeal small subunit ribosomal RNA", at positions 897 to 1338 of the family's 1478-position model. Lineage: Archaea; Methanobacteriati; Methanobacteriota; Methanomicrobia; Methanomicrobiales. The record is from RNAcentral.
GCGGUUUAAUCGGACUCAACGCCGGAAACUCACCAGAUAAGACAGCUGAAUGAUAGUCGGGCUGAAGACUCUACUUGACUAGCUGAGAGGAGGUGCAUGGCCGUCGUCAGUUCGUACUGUGAAGCAUCCUGUUAAGUCAGGCAACGAGCGAGACCCACGCCAACAGUUGCCAGCUCGUCCUCCGGGAUGGUGGGGGACACUGUUGGGACCGCCUCUGCUAAAGAGGAGGAAGGAAUGGGCAACGGUAGGUCAGCAUGCCCCGAAUUAUCUGGGCUACACGCGGGCUACAAUGGGUGGGACAAUGGGUAUCGACACCGAAAGGUGAAGGCAAUCUCCUAAACCCAUCCGUAGUUCGGAUUGUGGGCUGCAACUCGCCCACAUGAAGCUGGAAUCUGUAGUAAUCGUGUCUCAAAAUGGCACGGUGAAUAUGUCCCUGCUCCUU